Molecule: ribosomal RNA, 497 nt
Filed under: uncultured bacterium
Lineage: Bacteria
Description: partial 16S ribosomal RNA
Rfam family: Bacterial small subunit ribosomal RNA
Source: RNAcentral
GAUGAACGCUGGCGGCGUGCCUAAUACAUGCAAGUCGAGCGAACGGACGAGAAGCUUGCUUCUCUGAUGUUAGCGGCGGACGGGUGAGUAACACGUGGAUAACCUACCUAUAAGACUGGGAUAACUUCGGGAAACCGGAGCUAAUACCGGAUGAUAUUUUGAACCGCAUGGUUCAAAAGUGAAAGACGGUCUUGCUGUCACUUAUAGAUGGAUCCGCGCUGCAUUAGCUAGUUGGUAAGGUAACGGCUUACCAAGGCAACGAUGCAUAGCCGACCUGAGAGGGUGAUCGGCCACACUGGAACUGAGACACGGUCCAGACUCCUACGGGAGGCAGCAGUAGGGAAUCUUCCGCAAUGGGCGAAAUCCUGACGGAGCAACGCCGCGUGAGUGAUGAAGUUCUUCGGAUCGUAAAACUCUGUUAUUAGGGAAGAACAUAUGUGUAAGUAACUGUGCACAUCUUGACGUUACCUAAUCAGAAAGCCACGGCUAACUACGUG